This 435-nucleotide unclassified non-coding RNA is filed under the name Hevea brasiliensis (rubber tree). Lineage: Eukaryota; Viridiplantae; Streptophyta; Magnoliopsida; Malpighiales; Euphorbiaceae. The record is from RNAcentral.
GGCGAGUAUAAGAUUGUUCAGAUUUAUCAGGGUUUGGAUUUACCUUGUGAAAUUCUUGCGCUGAAAGGUGGCUCUUGGAGAAGAAGUGAUAAGCAUCCUCAUGGCAUAUACUGUCUGAUGUUUGCUAUGCAGUUUUUGACAUUUGUACAUGCAGCAUUUCAUUGGAUCAGUAUGUCACGAAAUUAUUCUGUGGUGCUUUCGUUUAGUAUUUCGAAUGAAGCAUAUGGAGAGAUUCCCUUAACGGAGGAAAUUUCACGUCCGGGGGCUGUUAUUGGCAUUACAGUUUUGGAUGGAAUGCUUUCUGUUCAUUCUAAUUGUCGUUAUGAUCAGAGUAACCGUACUAUUAAGUUAUGGGUAUUGAAAGAGUAUGGUAUCAAGGAAAAUCUUGGAUUCCAUUGUUAUCUACCGAAGAUCGUUAUAUUGCUUUUGCUAUAC